UGUUUGAGCUGAGAAAGGUGUGAGAGCUUCAAGCAGAGGCCACCUGGAUCCCAGCCCCUCAGGUGUCAUGGAGGCAGUAAAUAUAAAUGACAGUUAGCACUUCCCUGAGGGCUUCUGCAGACUUCACUUCUUCUCUUCUGAAUUCUUCAAAGCAAAAGGACCCUGCUCACAGCAAGGGCAAAGAGGGCAUCAAGUAAAUCCCAGCCGACACCCACAACGCUUAACAUGUGUUUGCAUACUGAAGUCCAAUGGUGUUUCAUUUUGCUCCGAGGAUGUUUUAUGCAGUGACAGGACUGGAAGCAAUUUACCACAACUUUGAGUAAUCAAGCCCCAGCGUGGUUAAAAGCAUCUUAUUUUCCUUCACACUGUAAAGGAGAUCGUCUGCC
This is a long non-coding RNA of Periophthalmus magnuspinnatus, 386 nucleotides long. RefSeq lists it as uncharacterized. The record is from RefSeq and is a predicted model, not a curated record. The transcript is spliced from 3 exons. Lineage: Eukaryota; Metazoa; Chordata; Actinopteri; Gobiiformes; Gobiidae.